AUUGAACGCUGGCGGCAGGCCUAACACAUGCAAGUCGAGCGGAUGAAGGGAGCUUGCUCCUGGAUUCAGCGGCGGACGGGUGAGUAAUGCCUAGGAAUCUGCCUGGUAGUGGGGGAUAACGUCCGGAAACGGGCGCUAAUACCGCUUACGUCCUGAGGGAGAAAGUGGGGGAUCUUCGGACCUCACGCUAUCAGAUGAGCCUAGGUCGGAUUAGCUAGUUGGUGGGGUAAAGGCCUACCAAGGCGACGAUCCGUAACUGGUCUGAGAGGAUGAUCAGUCACACUGGAACUGAGACACGGUCCAGACUCCUACGGGAGGCAGUAGUGGGGAAUAUUGGACAAUGGGCGAAAGCCUGAUCCAGCCAUGCCGCGUGUGUGAAGAAGGUCUUCGGAUUGUAAAGCACUUUAAGUUGGGAGGAAGGGCAGUAAGUUAAUACCUUGCUGUUUUGACGUUACCAACAGAAUAAGCACCGGCUAACUUCGUG
RNAcentral lists this ribosomal RNA (484 nucleotides) under uncultured bacterium. RNAcentral's name for it is "partial 16S ribosomal RNA". It matches the Rfam family "Bacterial small subunit ribosomal RNA", at positions 30 to 507 of the family's 1533-position model. The record is from RNAcentral.